This 400-nucleotide long non-coding RNA is filed under the name Setaria viridis. RNAcentral's name for it is "long non-coding RNA (SVIR_LNC000023)". The record is from RNAcentral. Lineage: Eukaryota; Viridiplantae; Streptophyta; Magnoliopsida; Poales; Poaceae.
UUCUUCGUUACGUUUUGAGUGAAAAAUUGUGAGCUAGAAUCAUAAAUGUUGCCCAUGCUAUUUGGAGUAUGAGCAUUCCCCUAACAAUGUCAUAAUGCAAAUAAUCGAUACAAUUGUACACCAAAUUUUACAUAGUAACUUAUAUUAGGAGGGGAAAAAUAAUUAACAUAAAAUGGUCUAUACUAGUUAUGGAAUGAAAUAUGAUUAGCACAUGAAAGUGCUAGGGAUGUUUUCUUUUCAUGCGAUUGUUAAAAUUUAAUUAAAAAUGGUGGCUCAAUAUAACACAUCAAAGAGAGCCUAUUGAUGUUUUUAUGUUUGAUACCAAAAGAUCAAUGUGUGUUGUAAAAAUUGUCGAUAAAGUUGUUUUUCUUUCUUUUAUUUAGCUAUUCUAGUACAAGAU